UACAGAGGGUGCAAGCGUUGUUCGGAAUUAUUGGGCGUAAAGGGCGCGUAGGCGGUGCGGUAAGUAUGCGGUGAAAUCCACAGGCUCAACCUGUGGCCUGCCGCGUAGACUGCCGUGCUGGAGUGUGGGAGAGGUGAGUGGAAUUCCCGGUGUAGCGGUGAAAUGCGUAGAUAUGCGGAGGAACACCGAUGGCGAAGGCAAUCCCCUGGGCCUGCACUGACGCUCAUGCACGAAAGCGUGGGGAGCAAACAGG
Molecule: ribosomal RNA, 253 nt
Filed under: uncultured prokaryote
Description: partial 16S ribosomal RNA
Rfam family: Bacterial small subunit ribosomal RNA
Source: RNAcentral